GUCUUGUCAAUGAUGUUUUUAAACACAAAUGUCUGAACAAAUGAUUUCCUGUGAUUUCACUUUUGUUUCUGAGACAAGAC
Pseudoliparis swirei is the source of this 80-nucleotide small nucleolar RNA. RefSeq annotates it as small nucleolar RNA SNORD72. The record is from RefSeq and is a predicted model, not a curated record. Lineage: Eukaryota; Metazoa; Chordata; Actinopteri; Perciformes; Liparidae. The transcript has a single exon.